CAGAUUACUAAGUUUUCGUUUGAUGUUAGUUGUAAAAUAUGAUUCCCUUUAGACCCAGAUUCUUCAGUGUGUUUCCUUUUGUUCUCUGGAUAACAGGUCUAACUGAUGGAAGUGAUGUCAAUCAGACUCCUCUGCUGUGGACGAAGGAGGGUCAGUCUACCACCAUGAGCUGCAAUCACACUAAAGAUGCUUCUUACUUCCAGAUGUACUGGUACCAACAGCUGUCUGGACAGAACAUGAAACUAAUAGUAUUUACAACAACAACUCCUCCACAUAAGUAUGAACAAGGCUUCAGUGAGGAGAAAUUUCCCGCAGAGAAGAAGGAUGCUCAGACUGGAUCUCUGACAGUGAACAACUCGAAGCCUGAAGACAGUGGAUUGUAUUUCUGUGCUGUAAGUCAACACAGUGAUGCAGCUGAUUGA
This is a non-coding RNA of Cyprinodon tularosa, 422 nucleotides long. The record is from the annotation of a RefSeq genome assembly. NCBI's taxonomy places the organism in Eukaryota, Metazoa, Chordata, Actinopteri, Cyprinodontiformes, Cyprinodontidae.